AUACUUGACUGAGAAAAAACUUGACUGGAUAAUAAAAUUCUCAAAAGUCGUAGUUUGUUAUUAUCCGAUUUGCCGAUUCUGAAGGCUUUUGAUAUCUGAUGCAAGAACAGAAGAAUCAAGUUUGUUGAAGAGGUUAGUAAUGAAAUUUAUAUUCUUUGAGAUUCUUGAAGAUGAUCUUUUGGUUUUGGAUUUGAUUUUGGAGCUUCUCGGAUAAUAAUGCUCACAGCACAGAGAAACCUUUGUCGGAACCAUUGCAACUUCAUUAAGGGUCAAAGGACAUGCGGUCAAAGCUGGCGGUACAGUGAUUUUAGUUAGUGUCGCUUCAGUGGCAACGACUUGGGUUUCA
Cinara cedri is the source of this 346-nucleotide non-coding RNA. Lineage: Eukaryota; Metazoa; Arthropoda; Insecta; Hemiptera; Aphididae. The record is from the annotation of a GenBank genome assembly.